GGGUUGUGAGGUUAAGCGACUAAGCGUACACGGUGGAUGCCCUGGCAGUCAGAGGCGAUGAAGGACGUGCUAAUCUGCGAUAAGCGUCGGUAAGGUGAUAUGAACCGUUAUAACCGGCGAUUUCCGAAUGGGGAAACCCAGUGUGUUUCGACACACUAUCAUUAACUGAAUCCAUAGGUUAAUGAGGCGAACCGGGGGAACUGAAACAUCUAAGUACCCCGAGGAAAAGAAAUCAACCGAGAUUCCCCCAGUAGCGGCGAGCGAACGGGGAGCAGCCCAGAGCCUGAAUCAGUGUGUGUGUUAGUGGAAGCGUCUGGAAAGGCGCGCGAUACAGGGUGACAGCCCCGUACACAAAAAUGCACAUACUGUGAGCUCGAUGAGUAGGGCGGGACACGUGGUAUCCUGUCUGAAUAUGGGGGGACCAUCCUCCAAGGCUAAAUACUCCUGACUGACCGAUAGUGAACCAGUACCGUGAGGGAAAGGCGAAAAGAACCCCGGCGAGGGGAGUGAAAAAGAACCUGAAACCGUGUACGUACAAGCAGUGGGAGCCUCUUUUAUGGGGUGACUGCGUACCUUUUGUAUAAUGGGUCAGCGACUUAUAUUCUGUAGCAAGGUUAACCGAAUAGGGGAGCCGAAGGGAAACCGAGUCUUAACCGGGCGUUAAGUUGCAGGGUAUAGACCCGAAACCCGGUGAUCUAGCCAUGGGCAGGUUGAAGGUUGGGUAACACUAACUGGAGGACCGAACCGACUAAUGUUGAAAAAUUAGCGGAUGACUUGUGGCUGGGGGUGAAAGGCCAAUCAAACCGGGAGAUAGCUGGUUCUCCCCGAAAGCUAUUUAGGUAGCGCCUCGUGAAUUCAUCUCCGGGGGUAGAGCACUGUUUCGGCAAGGGGGUCAUCCCGACUUACCAACCCGAUGCAAACUGCGAAUACCGGAGAAUGUUAUCACGGGAGACACACGGCGGGUGCUAACGUCCGUCGUGAAGAGGGAAACAACCCAGACCGCCAGCUAAGGUCCCAAAGUCAUGGUUAAGUGGGAAACGAUGUGGGAAGGCCCAGACAGCCAGGAUGUUGGCUUAGAAGCAGCCAUCAUUUAAAGAAAGCGUAAUAGCUCACUGGUCGAGUCGGCCUGCGCGGAAGAUGUAACGGGGCUAAACCAUGCACCGAAGCUGCGGCAGCGACACUGUGUGUUGUUGGGUAGGGGAGCGUUCUGUAAGCCUGUGAAGGUGUACUGUGAGGUAUGCUGGAGGUAUCAGAAGUGCGAAUGCUGACAUAAGUAACGAUAAAGCGGGUGAAAAGCCCGCUCGCCGGAAGACCAAGGGUUCCUGUCCAACGUUAAUCGGGGCAGGGUGAGUCGACCCCUAAGGCGAGGCCGAAAGGCGUAGUCGAUGGGAAACAGGUUAAUAUUCCUGUACUUGGUGUUACUGCGAAGGGGGGACGGAGAAGGCUAUGUUGGCCGGGCGACGGUUGUCCCGGUUUAAGCGUGUAGGCUGGUUUUCCAGGCAAAUCCGGAAAAUCAAGGCUGAGGCGUGAUGACGAGGCACUACGGUGCUGAAGCAACAAAUGCCCUGCUUCCAGGAAAAGCCUCUAAGCAUCAGGUAACAUCAAAUCGUACCCCAAACCGACACAGGUGGUCAGGUAGAGAAUACCAAGGCGCUUGAGAGAACUCGGGUGAAGGAACUAGGCAAAAUGGUGCCGUAACUUCGGGAGAAGGCACGCUGAUAUGUAGGUGAAGUCCCUCGCGGAUGGAGCUGAAAUCAGUCGAAGAUACCAGCUGGCUGCAACUGUUUAUUAAAAACACAGCACUGUGCAAACACGAAAGUGGACGUAUACGGUGUGACGCCUGCCCGGUGCCGGAAGGUUAAUUGAUGGGGUCAGCGCAAGCGAAGCUCUUGAUCGAAGCCCCGGUAAACGGCGGCCGUAACUAUAACGGUCCUAAGGUAGCGAAAUUCCUUGUCGGGUAAGUUCCGACCUGCACGAAUGGCGUAAUGAUGGCCAGGCUGUCUCCACCCGAGACUCAGUGAAAUUGAACUCGCUGUGAAGAUGCAGUGUACCCGCGGCAAGACGGAAAGACCCCGUGAACCUUUACUAUAGCUUGACACUGAACAUUGAGCCUUGAUGUGUAGGAUAGGUGGGAGGCUUUGAAGUGUGGACGCCAGUCUGCAUGGAGCCGACCUUGAAAUACCACCCUUUAAUGUUUGAUGUUCUAACGUGGACCCGUGAUCCGGGUUGCGGACAGUGUCUGGUGGGUAGUUUGACUGGGGCGGUCUCCUCCUAAAGAGUAACGGAGGAGCACGAAGGUUGGCUAAUCCUGGUCGGACAUCAGGAGGUUAGUGCAAUGGCAUAAGCCAGCUUGACUGCGAGCGUGACGGCGCGAGCAGGUGCGAAAGCAGGUCAUAGUGAUCCGGUGGUUCUGAAUGGAAGGGCCAUCGCUCAACGGAUAAAAGGUACUCCGGGGAUAACAGGCUGAUACCGCCCAAGAGUUCAUAUCGACGGCGGUGUUUGGCACCUCGAUGUCGGCUCAUCACAUCCUGGGGCUGAAGUAGGUCCCAAGGGUAUGGCUGUUCGCCAUUUAAAGUGGUACGCGAGCUGGGUUUAGAACGUCGUGAGACAGUUCGGUCCCUAUCUGCCGUGGGCGCUGGAGAACUGAGGGGGGCUGCUCCUAGUACGAGAGGACCGGAGUGGACGCAUCACUGGUGUUCGGGUUGUCAUGCCAAUGGCACUGCCCGGUAGCUAAAUGCGGAAGAGAUAAGUGCUGAAAGCAUCUAAGCACGAAACUUGCCCCGAGAUGAGUUCUCCCUGACCCUUUAAGGGUCCUGAAGGAACGUUGAAGACGACGACGUUGAUAGGCCGGGUGUGUAAGCGCAGCGAUGCGUUGAGCUAACCGGUACUAAUGAACCGUGAGGCUUAACCUUACAAUGCCGAAGGUGUU
Molecule: ribosomal RNA, 2929 nt
Filed under: Escherichia coli
Lineage: Bacteria; Pseudomonadati; Pseudomonadota; Gammaproteobacteria; Enterobacterales; Enterobacteriaceae
Description: 23S ribosomal RNA
Rfam family: Bacterial large subunit ribosomal RNA
Source: RNAcentral